Molecule: transfer RNA, 68 nt
Filed under: Eubacterium limosum
Lineage: Bacteria; Bacillati; Bacillota; Clostridia; Eubacteriales; Eubacteriaceae
Also listed under: 1 other name
Rfam family: tRNA
About the family: Transfer RNA (tRNA) molecules are approximately 80 nucleotides in length.
Source: RNAcentral
UGAAGUGGCACAGAUGGUAGCGCAAUUGAUUCGUAAUCAAUAGGUCAGGGGUUCGAUUCCCCUCUUCA